CACCAGGCCCUUUUCAGGGCUAACAAUUAUUUCAAUCAAUUACUAU
Non-coding RNA from Bombyx mori (domestic silkworm), 46 nucleotides. The record is from Rfam. Lineage: Eukaryota; Metazoa; Arthropoda; Insecta; Lepidoptera; Bombycidae.